RNAcentral lists this ribosomal RNA (541 nucleotides) under uncultured bacterium. RNAcentral describes it as "bacterial SSU rRNA". It matches the Rfam family "Bacterial small subunit ribosomal RNA", at positions 355 to 896 of the family's 1533-position model. The record is from RNAcentral.
UAAGGAAUAUUGGUCAAUGGGCGGAAGCCUGAACCAGCCAUGCCGCGUGCAGGAAGACGGCCCUACGGGUUGUAAACUGCUUUUAUACGGGAAUAAACCCACCUACGAGUAGGUGGCUGAAUGUACUGUAAGAAUAAGGAUCGGCUAACUCCGUGCCAGCAGCCGCGGUAAUACGGAGGAUCCAAGCGUUAUCCGGAUUUAUUGGGUUUAAAGGGUGCGUAGGCGGCCUGUUAAGUCAGGGGUGAAAGACGGUAGCUUAACUAUCGCAGUGCCCUUGAUACUGAUGGGCUUGAAUAUACUAGAGGUAGGCGGAAUGUGACAAGUAGCGGUGAAAUGCAUAGAUAUGUCACAGAACACCAAUUGCGAAGGCAGCUUACUAUGGUAUGAUUGACGCUGAGGCACGAAAGCGUGGGGAUCAAACAGGAUUAGAUACCCUGGUAGUCCACGCCCUAAACGAUGAACACUCGAUGUUGGCGAUAUACGGUCAGCGUCUAAGCGAAAGCGUUAAGUGUUCCACCUGGGGAGUACGCCCGCAAGGGUG